Molecule: transfer RNA, 74 nt
Filed under: Clostridiales bacterium
Lineage: Bacteria; Bacillati; Bacillota; Clostridia; Eubacteriales
Description: tRNA-Gly
Rfam family: tRNA
About the family: Transfer RNA (tRNA) molecules are approximately 80 nucleotides in length. Their secondary structure includes four short double-helical elements and three loops (D, anti-codon, and T loops). Further hydrogen bonds mediate the characteristic L-shaped molecular structure. tRNAs have two regions of fundamental functional importance: the anti-codon, which is responsible for specific mRNA codon recognition, and the 3' end, to which the tRNAs corresponding amino acid is attached (by aminoacyl-tRNA synthetases). tRNAs cope with the degeneracy of the genetic code in two manners: having more than one tRNA (with a specific anti-codon) for a particular amino acid; and 'wobble' base-pairing, i.e. permitting non-standard base-pairing at the 3rd anti-codon position.
Source: RNAcentral
GCGGGUGUAGUUCAAUGGUAGAAUUCCAGCCUUCCAAGCUGGUCGUGUGGGUCCGAUUCCCAUCGCCCGCUCCA